Molecule: small RNA, 125 nt
Filed under: Marmota monax (woodchuck)
Lineage: Eukaryota; Metazoa; Chordata; Mammalia; Rodentia; Sciuridae
Source: RNAcentral
GCUGGGCAUGGUGGCGCAUGCCUGUAAUCUCAGUGGCUCAGCAGGCUGAGGCAGGAGGAUCGCAAGUUCAGAGUCAGCCUUAGCAAAGGGGAGGUGCUGAACAACUCAGUGAGACCCUGUUUCAA